RNAcentral lists this ribosomal RNA (253 nucleotides) under uncultured bacterium. RNAcentral describes it as "partial 16S ribosomal RNA". It matches the Rfam family "Bacterial small subunit ribosomal RNA", at positions 524 to 776 of the family's 1533-position model. The record is from RNAcentral.
UACGAAGGGGGCUAGCGUUGCUCGGAAUCACUGGGCGUAAAGGGCGCGUAGGCGGAUCUUUAAGUCAGGGGUGAAAGCCUGAGGCCCAACCUCAGAAUUGCCUUUGAUACUUAAGAUCUCGAGACCGGAAGAGGUAAGUGGAACUGCGAGUGUAGAGGUGAAAUUCGUAGAUAUUGGGAAGAACACCAGUGGCGAAGGCGGCUAACUGGUCCAGAUCUGACGCUGAGGUGCGAAAGCGUGGGGAGCAAACAGG